This 493-nucleotide long non-coding RNA is filed under the name Pelobates cultripes (western spadefoot toad). The record is from RNAcentral. Lineage: Eukaryota; Metazoa; Chordata; Amphibia; Anura; Pelobatidae.
GCUUCUAUUUCAACUGUCAAAAGUAAAGACAAAUAAGUCAAUGGGACCUGAUGGAAUACACCCAAAGCUAUUAAAAGAGCUUAGUGGUGUACUAGCAAAACCAUUAACAGAUUUAUUUAACCAAUCAUUGUUAACAGGAGUAGUCCCAGAAGAUUGGAAGUUAGUGAAUGUUGUGCCCAUUUACAAGAAAGGUAAUAGGGAGGAGUCGAGCAACUAUAGGCCAGUAAGCCUUACUUCAGUAGUGGGGAAAGUGAUGGAAACCAUGUUAAAGGAGAGGAUUGAUGAACAUCUAAAAACACAUGGAUUUCAAGAUCAGAGACAACAUGGGUUUACUUCAGGGAGAUCAUGCCAAACUAAUCUUAUUGAUUUUUUUUGAUUGGGUAACUAAAAUUAUAGAUCAGGGUGGUGCAGUAGACAUUGCUUACCUAGAUAUCAGUAAGGCUUUUGACACUGUUGCACAUAGAAGGCUUAUCAAUAAACUGCAAUCUUUAAG